GGUUAGCUAGGAGAGUUUUUGGUCAAGCCUAUUGGCUAUGUGUGUGUGUAUGUUGUAGUAGGGUUUUACAUAGGGUGUGGAAUACAAAAUCUUCUCCCUCAAUCUCCUCUCUCUCUAAGGUUGCUACCCCAAAUUUCUUGAAGAAACCCUAAAGUGGGGGGCGCCUCCCUCAAGCCCUAGAUGCCCUAGGGCUGGAAGGGAGGCGCCCCAUCAUAGCACCUAAAGAUUGGUGCUGGUGUUUACUACCUUCAGAGAGAUCGAAUCUAUCAUAGGUCUCCUCAGGUUCAUGCAUAAAAUCAGGAGUUUCAACAUAGUAUCAGAGCAGCACAGCA
RNAcentral lists this long non-coding RNA (332 nucleotides) under Elaeis guineensis (African oil palm). Its description in RNAcentral is "long non-coding RNA (EGUI_LNC060907)". Lineage: Eukaryota; Viridiplantae; Streptophyta; Magnoliopsida; Arecales; Arecaceae. The record is from RNAcentral.